GGGCCGUUAGCUCAGUUGGUAGAGCACCGGACUUUUAAUCCGUUGGUCGAAGGUUCGAUUCCUUCACGGCCCACCA
This 76-nucleotide transfer RNA is filed under the name Gammaproteobacteria bacterium. Its description in RNAcentral is "tRNA-Lys". It matches the Rfam family "tRNA". From Rfam's summary of the family: Transfer RNA (tRNA) molecules are approximately 80 nucleotides in length. Their secondary structure includes four short double-helical elements and three loops (D, anti-codon, and T loops). The record is from RNAcentral. Lineage: Bacteria; Pseudomonadati; Pseudomonadota; Gammaproteobacteria. RNAcentral also lists the same sequence under 1 other name.